RNAcentral lists this long non-coding RNA (675 nucleotides) under Capra hircus (goat). RNAcentral describes it as "lncRNA (ENSCHIG00010004686.1)". Lineage: Eukaryota; Metazoa; Chordata; Mammalia; Artiodactyla; Bovidae. The record is from RNAcentral.
UUGAACAAGUGACACAUUCUCUAGGUCCCAGAUUUUACACUUAUAGCAUAGGGCAGGCAUCCCCAACCCUUGAGCUGUGGACAGGUACUGGUCCAUGGCGGUUAGGAAUCAAGCCGCACAGCAAAAGGUAAGUGGCAGGACUAGGGCGUGAAGCUUCAUCUGCUGCUCCUCAGUGUGCCUGCCUCGUCGUUUGCAUUACUGCCUGAACCACCCUCCACCCUGUCCGUGGAAAAAUUCUGAAAAACAGUUCUCUGGUGCAAAAAAUGUUGGGGACCACUGGUGUAGAGAACUGAGUUAAAUGAGAUAACUCAUGUGAACAUGGUCCACACCCAAUCGGUAUGCGAGAAACAUCUGUGGAACCGUAGUCUGGCAUGAGUAAUGAAGUGACGAGGCCAGUGUUUUGUGACGCCAAACUCUUUGAUUCCUUUGCCACUCCAUCCCCCAUCCCAGAGGUCUCGCAUGUAGUAGGUGCUCUGGGCCCAGCAGGAUGAGACAGGAUGGGACGUGUGCCGGCCACACGUGUCCAGCCAAGCAGGCCGACCCCGGAGGCGAGGACGAGAACAUGCUGAGGUAGGGCGAAGGCCGGGGCCGGAGACACGCCUGAUAAGAAGUCGCACCUCAUCAGCCCAGUAAACCUCAGCAAGGCCUUGCUAAGGAGCUUAAGGAAUUGAGGGC